RNAcentral lists this ribosomal RNA (820 nucleotides) under uncultured Brevundimonas sp. Its description in RNAcentral is "bacterial SSU rRNA". It matches the Rfam family "Bacterial small subunit ribosomal RNA", at positions 36 to 904 of the family's 1533-position model. Lineage: Bacteria; Pseudomonadati; Pseudomonadota; Alphaproteobacteria; Caulobacterales; Caulobacteraceae. The record is from RNAcentral.
CUUGGGCGGCGGCUACCAUGCAAGUCGAACGGACCUUUCGGGGUUAGUGGCGGACGGGUGAGUAACACGUGGGAACGUGCCUUUAGGUUCGGAAUAGCUCCUGGAAACGGGUGGUAAUGCCGAAUGUGCCCUUCGGGGGAAAGAUUUAUCGCCUUUAGAGCGGCCCGCGUCUGAUUAGCUAGUUGGUUGAGGUAACGGCUCACCAAGGCGACGAUCAGUAGCUGGUCUGAGAGGAUGGCCAGCCACAUUGGGACUGAGACACGGCCCAAACUCCUACGGGAGGCAGCAGUGGGGAAUCUUGCGCAAUGGGCGAAAGCCUGACGCAGCCAUGCCGCGUGAAUGAUGAAGGUCUUAGGAUUGUAAAAUUCUUUCACCGGGGACGAUAAUGACGGUACCCGGAGAAGAAGCCCCGGCUAACUUCGUGCCAGCAGCCGCGGUAAUACGAAGGGGGCUAGCGUUGCUCGGAAUUACUGGGCGUAAAGGGCGCGUAGGCGGACAUUUAAGUCAGGGGUGAAAUCCCAGAGCUCAACUCUGGAACUGCCUUUGAUACUGGGUGUCUUGAGUGUGAGAGAGGUAUGUGGAACUCCGAGUGUAGAGGUGAAAUUCGUAGAUAUUCGGAAGAACACCAGUGGCGAAGGCGACAUACUGGCUCAUUACUGACGCUGAGGCGCGAAAGCGUGGGGAGCAAACAGGAUUAGAUACCCUGGUAGUCCACGCCGUAAACGAUGAUUGCUAGUUGUCGGGCUGCAUGCAGUUCGGUGACGCAGCUAACGCAUUAAGCAAUCCGCCUGGGGAGUACGGUCGCAAGAUUAAAACUCAA